GACGAACGCUGGCGGCGUGCCUAAUACAUGCCAGUAGAACGCUGAAGGAGGAGCUUGCUUCUCUGGAUGAGUUGCGAACGGGUGAGUAACGCGUAGGUAACCUGCCUGGUAGCGGGGGAUAACUAUUGGAAACGAUAGCUAAUACCGCAUAAGAGUAGAUGUCGCAUGACAUUUGCUUAAAAGGUGCAAUUGCAUCACUACCAGAUGGACCUGCGUUGUAUUAGCUAGUUGGUGAGGUAACGGCUCACCAAGGCAACGAUACAUAGCCGACCUGAGAGGGUGAUCGGCCACACUGGGACUGAGACACGGCCCAGACUCCUACGGGAGGCAGCAGUAGGGAAUCUUCGGCAAUGGACGGAAGUCUGACCGAGCAACGCCGCGUGAGUGAAGAAGGUUCUCGGAUCGUAAAGCUCUGUUGUAAGAGAAGAACGAGUGUGAGAGUGGAAAGUUCACACUGUGACGGUAUCUUACCAGAAAGGGACGGCUAACUACGUG
Molecule: ribosomal RNA, 495 nt
Filed under: uncultured bacterium
Lineage: Bacteria
Description: partial 16S ribosomal RNA
Rfam family: Bacterial small subunit ribosomal RNA
Source: RNAcentral